CCAGACUCCUACGGGAGGCAGCAGUGGGGGAUAUUGCACAAUGGGGGGAACCCUGAUGCAGCGACGCCGCGUGGGUGAAGGAGCGUUUCGGCGCGUAAAGCCCUAUCGGCAGGGAAGAAGGAGGACGGUACCUGACUAAGAAGCCCCGGCUAACUACGUGCCAGCAGCCGCGGUAAUACGGAGGGUGCAAGCGUUGUCCGGAAUCAUUGGGCGUAAAGAGUUCGUAGGCGGCAUGUAAAGUCAGGUGUUAAAGGCGCAGGCUCAACCUGUGUAUGGCACUUGAUACUUGCAAGCUGGAAUGCGGUAGAGGUAAAGGGAAUUCCUGGUGUAGCGGUGAAAUGCUUAGAUAUCAGGAGGAACAUCGGUGGCGUAAGCGCUUUACUGGGCCGUAAUUGACGCUGAGGAACGAAAGCCAGGGUAGCAAAUGGGAUUAGAUACCCGCGUAA
Molecule: ribosomal RNA, 446 nt
Filed under: uncultured bacterium
Lineage: Bacteria
Description: bacterial SSU rRNA
Rfam family: Bacterial small subunit ribosomal RNA
Source: RNAcentral